This 1048-nucleotide small RNA is filed under the name uncultured Pelagibacterales bacterium. RNAcentral's name for it is "bacterial SSU rRNA". The stretch from base 1 to 658 matches the Rfam family "Bacterial small subunit ribosomal RNA", at positions 867 to 1533 of the family's 1533-position model. The record is from RNAcentral. Lineage: Bacteria; Pseudomonadati; Pseudomonadota; Alphaproteobacteria; Candidatus Pelagibacterales.
CACCGCCUGGGGAGUACGACCGCAAGGUUAAAACUCAAAUGAAUUGACGGGGACCCGCACAAGUAGUGGAGCAUGUGGUUUAAUUCGAAGAUACGCGCAGAACCUUACCAACACUUGACAUGUUCGUCGCGACUUUAAGAGAUUAAAGUUUUCGGUUCGGCCGGACGAAACACAGGUGCUGCAUGGCUGUCGUCAGCUCGUGUCGUGAGAUGUUGGGUUAAGUCCCGCAACGAGCGCAACCCUCACUUUUAGUUGCCAUCAUUUAGUUGGGCACUCUGAAAGAACUGCCAGUGAUAAGCUGGAGGAAGGUGGGGAUGACGCCAAGUCCUCAUGGCCCUUACGUGUUGGGCUACACACGUGCUACAAUGAUAUCUACAACAGGAAGCAAAACGGCGACGUUAAGCAAAUCCUUAAAAGAUAUCUCAGUUCGGAUUGCACUCUGCAACUCGAGUGCAUGAAGCUGGAAUUACUAGUAAUCGUGGAUCAGCGUGCCACGGUGAAUGCGUUCCCGGGUCUUGUACACACCGCCCGUCACACCAUGGGAGUUGGUUCUACCUUAAGGCAAGGCAUAAAACCCUUGACCACGGUAUAGUCAGCGACUGGGGUGAAGUCGUAACAAGGUAGCCGUAGGGGAACCUGCGGCUGGAUUACCUCCUUUCUAAGGAUGAAUGAAAUUUAAUUUUCAUUCUAAAAAAUAUACAUAGGUUAAUGUUGACCGUCCCCAUUUCUCUUCUUAAAGGUUAGUGUUUCUCUUGAAUGGGGCCGGUAGCUCAGUUGGUUAGAGCACACCCUUGAUAAGGGUGGGGUCGAAAGUUCGAGUCUUUCUCGGCCCACCAAAAUAAGAUUAAGGGGGAUUAGCUCAGCUGGGAGAGCGCCUGAUUUGCAUUCAGGAGGUCAGCGGUUCGAUCCCGCUAUCCUCCACCAAACACUUAGUUAUAAAAAUUGUGAAUAAAAUAAUAAUUAAUAUCAAUAUCUAUAUCCGAACAUUAGUAAUGUUAUUAGCUAAUGUUCAAAAUAAAAAUUUGAUUCAACACAGAAUUUUUUUCUG